RNAcentral lists this ribosomal RNA (579 nucleotides) under Triticum aestivum (bread wheat). Its description in RNAcentral is "partial small subunit ribosomal RNA". Lineage: Eukaryota; Viridiplantae; Streptophyta; Magnoliopsida; Poales; Poaceae. The record is from RNAcentral.
ACAACUAAUGCUGGUGAUGAGCAUUUGGAGAGCUACCGGACAUUGGGUUUGACAGUAUCGCGGUCAAAGAAAGGGGAUACGAAGUUUCCAAAGGUCUUGUCGCUUCUUGCCACAUAUCUGGGCAGAUCAGUUCAGAAGAGUGAAGAAUUACUAGGUUCUGAUGGAAUAAAGGAGUCGUCCACUAUCUUUCAUGGCCAGAGGGUGCCAGAUCCCAGUAUACAGCUCUAUGCAGAACGCAUUUUCAAGUAUGCUGAGUGCAGUCCAUCCUGCUUUGUGUUGGCACUUGUCUACAUGGUGAGACAUCUACAUCAGCCAAAUGUGUACAUGACGCCCUUCAGUGUUCAUCGCUUACUAAUUACAAGUGUGGUGGUUGAUGCCAAAUUCACAGAUGAUGCGUUUUUCAACAACGCAUUAUAUGCUAGGGUGGGAGGAAUCAACACAAUCGAGAUGAAUCGUCUCGAGCUGGAUUUGUUGUUUAAUCUGGACUUCGGGUUGAAAGUGAACCUAGAGACUUUUGGGAGCUACUACUUGCAACUGGAGAAACAUGCACCGGUGUCACCAGAGAGACUGCCGGUUUGA